CCCUUAGAUGUUCUUGGCCGCACGCGUGCUACACUGAGUGGAUCAGCGGGUCAGGUUGCGCGAAAGUGUUUCCUAAUCUUUAAAUCCGCUCGUGAUGGGGAUUGACGGUUGCAAUUUUCCGUCAUGAACGAGGAAUACCUUGUAAGCGCGGGUCAUCAUCCCGCGCUGAAUACGUCCCUGCCCUUUGUACACACCGCCCGUCGCUCCUACCGAUUGAGUGGUCCGGUGAGGCUUUGGGAUCUGAGCGGAAAGAGCGUUUCGCUGUUUCUGCCCGGAAAACUCAGUCGAACCUUAUCAUUUAGAGGAAGGAGAAGUCGUAACA
Molecule: ribosomal RNA, 322 nt
Filed under: uncultured eukaryote
Lineage: Eukaryota
Description: partial 18S ribosomal RNA
Rfam family: Eukaryotic small subunit ribosomal RNA
Source: RNAcentral